This is a ribosomal RNA of Pan troglodytes (chimpanzee), 116 nucleotides long. Lineage: Eukaryota; Metazoa; Chordata; Mammalia; Primates; Hominidae. The record is from Ensembl.
GUCUAAGGCCUUACCGCCCUGAGACACCUGAUCUCUGGCCUCUGAAGCUAAGCAGGGUGGGGCCUGGUUCAGUACUUGGAAGAGAGACCGCCUGGGAAUACAAGCUGCUGUAGGCU